RNAcentral lists this long non-coding RNA (2440 nucleotides) under Triticum aestivum (bread wheat). Its description in RNAcentral is "long non-coding RNA (TAES_LNC001664)". Lineage: Eukaryota; Viridiplantae; Streptophyta; Magnoliopsida; Poales; Poaceae. The record is from RNAcentral.
UAUAAUGGAAUCUUGAAUUCAUAUAAACCCUUCACAACAAAUUAUAUGUAACUUGGUUAUAAUAAUAUUAUAACAAACUUCAUAUUACCAUGUUGGAAUGAAACUGAAGCACCAACCAUGAGCAAUUUCUUGCGACUAGAGAACAUUUAACAUGAUGCCGCCUUUCACCAAGAAUGCAACAUCUAUUACUGGUUUUGCGGGUGUCUCUCGUUGAGAGUGAAGGGAGAAAGAAAGAGACUAGAAUAGAAUUUAAGGUCGGACGCGGGCACUUUUCAAGCAACAUGGAUAUACUAGGCUGGAGAAAGUGAUGCCAAUCGCAUGAAAGCAAAUUCUCCAGAAUACUGCAUGAAAGCAAAUUGAUAUAGGCCAUUUGUUUGCCAUGAAAAGGACGACGGCGAGAGAGCCAUGCAUGGAUCUCGUCCUUAAUUACAUUUUUUAAUCCUGGAUAGACUACAUUAGGGAGGUAAGCUAGAGCUACAAAUGGUUGGGCAAUCCUGGUGUAGUCUUGACGAACAAUUUAUAGUUGAUUAAAAAGGUGAUUCUAACUGCUGGCCACUGGAUCGGUGGAGAAGUGGGCGUGCAUGUGGAAAUUGUCCAUGUGUUGUCACAUAUCCCAAAACGCAUCCACUUCACGCAAUAGAUACCGUUUCUUCCAAGUGCAUCAGAAGGGAAAAUGGCAAGAGUGCCGUCGGAUUGAGCACGGUCACAAACCUGCAAAACCUGCAGGAUUCAGAACCAAGAACAUCGAAAUUGUUCAAAUUGGCCACCGCGGUAUACAAACGGCAAAAACAAGAGGCAAAGACACGCGAAAACAAAUUGAAAUGACUACAUCACGCAUUUUAAUCAGGGCGGUAAUUAAAGCGCGUGCCCACGCUACUAUGCGAGUAGUAUUUGUAGCAUGUUUAGUAGAGUGGCAUUCGUGUGUGUUGUGUGGCGUGGAAUGUAUGUCCUCUUGUACUUAGAAAGCACUCCUUGCCGCAAACCUAUGGCAAGCAGGCCAUGUUACCCCAGAUUCUUGCCGAUUAUGCCAUUCUAUAGCGCGCACAUGCAUGCUUUCCACAGAGGCAUGCAUUGGGGUUAUGUGGGAUACAGGAGGCGCAGAAUUGGCUACGGACGCAUGGAUACCACACACGCGCGCGCACGGCUGACAGCUAGCCACGGACAGGGACGAAACACGGCUAAAAAGGGACGACAUCAGUAUUCACUUACUCCGACCACGUAAAAUAAAGCAUCUUCUACACAUACAGAUAGAUUAUUCUUUCUACCAAAAGAACAGAUAUGCAGAAAGAUAAAGAUGUAUCUGCACGCACAUGUUUGAGAGAAGUUUCACCGGGGUUCCGCGUCGCAUCGUCGUUAAAGUUUCGUCAUAUGAAUUGAGGGCAACUUUCAAGCGUUUCAUCCAUGGUCCGUCCGAAUUCAACGGGGAAUCAAGCGAGAGAGCGGGCAAGGGGAAGUGGCCGGGUAGCUACCCCAGGCCCAGGGCAGCUGCCAACUAUUUGCGACAUGAACAUACUCAUUCGUAGGAGGUUUGUACAGUAGCUUAGCGGCCUAUAGCGCGAGUGCGCGUCGAGUUGGUUGGCACACACGCGCGCCCGCGCACGGUGGCGUGGUCCCUUUUUCCCUUUGGCCCCAUAGCAGCCUCGCUAGCUGCAUCGUUCGCUCCAUCCAGCCUCGAUGGGUAGCCACUGACUGUGUCUACAUGGGAGCAAUGGAUGGGUGGAUUGGAUUGGGUUGGACGGUACCCCUACCCCUACCGACGACGGCCCAGUGUCCUACGACUCUCUCUCUCUCUCCUCGCUAUUCUUUUCUCUCUCUUCUAGAGACUAGAGAGGAGACGAGGGGAGAGGAAAUGAGACGAAAGGUACGCAUGCAGCAGUGUUGGCUUCGACGGGCCCGCCGGGCGUACUAUGGGAUGCCGUCCGUCCUGUUCUGAUCUCUUCUUUUAGCCCUCUUGAAUCCCGGCUGUACCGAUCAUUCGUUCAUCAUCGCCAGGACGGCAGGACCCAUGCAUCACAAAUUUAACGCCUCUCCCCCUCUCUCUCUCCUCUUUCUCUCUCAUGCAUAAUGCUGAUCGUAACAAUAGUAUUAUCAUAAACCCAAUUGAAACGGAUGAAUUGAAAAGUGGGCGAGCAAGUCACCUUGGGCCUGUGCCUGUGUGGUGCUGUAGGAAGGGAGGGGGUGGACCUAUGUCCUGUUGGGGACCCCGGAAAAGAUGCCUCCCGCUCAUUCGUCAAACUCGCCCUACCCCCGUGAUCUUCUAAUGCCAGCCUUGCUAAUCGCCACGCCGCUGCCGUCCCUUAUCUUCCACCCCUUCUAGAUAAUGCAUGCACCUGUAAGAUACAGACGGAAGGAUCAGAAUUACGCCGUAAUUUCGCAAUUGUCAUGGCAGAGGUCAUAUCAUAGAGUUGCAUCCUUACCAUGACAGCAUGGUCGCCUGGAG